Molecule: ribosomal RNA, 436 nt
Filed under: uncultured bacterium
Lineage: Bacteria
Description: bacterial SSU rRNA
Rfam family: Bacterial small subunit ribosomal RNA
Source: RNAcentral
AACGAACGCUGGCGGCAGGCUUAACACAUGCAAGUCGAACGCUCGUAGCAAUACGGGAGUGGCGGACGGGUGAGUAACGCGUGGGAACGUGCCCUGAGGUACGGAAUAACUGCGGGAAACUGCAGCUAAUACCGUAUGAGCCCCGUGAGGGGAAAGAUUUAUCGCCUUAGGAGCGGCCCGCGUCGGAUUAGCUAGUUGGUGGGGUAACGGCUUACCAAGGCUUCGAUCCGUAGCUGGUCUGAGAGGACGAUCAGCCACACUGGGACUGAGACACGGCCCAGACUCCUACGGGAGGCAGCAGUGGGGAAUCUUGCGCAAUGGGGGCAACCCUGACGCAGCCAUGCCGCGUGAAUGAUGAAGGCCUUAGGGUUGUAAAGUUCUUUUGCCCGUGACGAUGAUGACGGUAACGGGAGAAUAAGCUCCGGCUAACUUCGUG